Molecule: long non-coding RNA, 494 nt
Organism: Medicago truncatula (barrel medic)
Lineage: Eukaryota; Viridiplantae; Streptophyta; Magnoliopsida; Fabales; Fabaceae
Exons: 2
Source: RefSeq, a predicted model, not a curated record
CACUAUAAAGUGCUCAAAUCAUAUUUUAUUUGCGACUUGCAAAAUUAGAAAAAUAUGGCUGCCACUUUUAAGCUUGUGUAUGUUAUGAUAUUACUUAUUUCCCUGUAUCAUGUUGCAGGAAACUUUGAAGAUAUUAGUAUUGAAUGCAUGUUCAGUAUUGAUUGUCCACAAAUUAAAUCAAACAUAUUUAGGUUUAAGUGCAUUGAAGACCGAUGUAAAAUUGAGUUCAUAUACCAGCGAAAAAAAUAUGAAAUAUAACUGAUACUGUCACUGUGUCAAUGUCAUCCUUCAACAAAACAAAAAAAACUGAUACUUGAAUAUUCUCCCAAUAUAUUGUAUUUUUUUUAUUUCUUUUUAUUUUCGGAAUUUUAUGGACAUUGCAAUUAUGCUUUGUACUCUUAGACGUGGAUAAUGAAAUGAAAUAAGACAUUAAAUAAGACACAAUUUUAUUUUGAAAGAAAAGGCACUAAAUAUUACUAUGAUUAGAUUUUUUA